UACGUAGGGUGCGAGCGUUGUCCGGAUUUAUUGGGCGUAAAGAGCUCGUAGGCGGUUUGUCGCGUCGUCCGUGAAAACUCACAGCUUAACUGUGAGCUUGCGGUCGAUACGGGCAGGCUAGAGUUCGGUAGGGGAGACUGGAAUUCCUGGUGUAGCGGUGAAAUGCGCAGAUAUCAGGAGGAACACCGGUGGCGAAGGCGGGUCUCUGGGCCGAUACUGACGCUGAGGAGCGAAAGCGUGGGGAGCGAACAGG
Molecule: ribosomal RNA, 253 nt
Filed under: uncultured bacterium
Lineage: Bacteria
Description: partial 16S ribosomal RNA
Rfam family: Bacterial small subunit ribosomal RNA
Source: RNAcentral